Molecule: ribosomal RNA, 253 nt
Filed under: uncultured bacterium
Lineage: Bacteria
Description: partial 16S ribosomal RNA
Rfam family: Bacterial small subunit ribosomal RNA
Source: RNAcentral
GACGUAGGGUGCAAGCGUUGUCCGGAUUUACUGGGCGUAAAGAGCGCGCAGGCGGUCGUUCAAGUCGCGUGUGAAAGCCCCCGGCUCAACUGGGGAGGGUCACGCGAUACUGAUCGACUCGAAGGCAGGAGAGGGAAGUGGAAUUCCCGGUGUAGUGGUGAAAUGCGUAGAUAUCGGGAGGAACACCAGUGGCGAAGGCGACUUCCUGGCCUGUUCUUGACGCUGAGGCGCGAAAGCUAGGGGAGCAAACGGG